RNAcentral lists this long non-coding RNA (1083 nucleotides) under Oryctolagus cuniculus (rabbit). RNAcentral's name for it is "lncRNA (ENSOCUG00000038671.1)". The record is from RNAcentral. Lineage: Eukaryota; Metazoa; Chordata; Mammalia; Lagomorpha; Leporidae.
AUGAGGCAGCAGGGUCCUCCCCAAAAGCCCCCUGGGGAGCAAGACCCUCCCAGUGCGUCCCAGUGCCUCCCAGUGUGUCCCAGUGCCUCCCAGUGUGUCCCAGUGCGUCCCAGUGCCUCCCAGUGCGUCCCAGUGCCUCCCAGUGCCUCCCAGUGCAUCCCAGUGUGUCCCAGUGCGUCCCAGUGCCUGCCUCCCAGUACCUCCCAGUGCAUCCCAGUGCCUCCCAGUGCCUCCCAGUGUGUCCCAGUGCCUCCCAGUGCGUCCCAGUGCCUCCCAAUGCCUCCCAGUGCCUCCAGUGCGUCCCAGUGCCUCCCAGUGCCUCCCAAUGCCUCCCAGUGCCUCCAGUGCGUCCCAGUGCCUCUCAGUGCAUCCCAGUGCCUCCCAGUGCCUCCCAAUGCCUCCCAGUGCCUCCAGUGCAUCCCAGUGCUUCCCAGUGCUUCCCAGUGCCUCCAGUGCAUCCCAGUGCCUCCAGUGCAUCCCAGUGCCUCCCAGUGCGUCCCAGUGCCUCCCAGUGCCUCCAGUGCAUCCCAGUGCCUCCCAGUGCCUCCAGUGCAUCCCAGUGCGUCCCAGUGCCUCCCAGUGCUUCCCAGUGUGUCCCAGUGCCUCCCAGUGCGUCCCAGUGCCUCCCAGUGCCUCCCAGUGCCUGCCUCCCAGUGCUUCCCAGUGCGUCCCAGUGCCUCCCAGUGCAUCCCAGUGCCUCCCAGUGCCUCCCAGUGCAUCCCAGUGCCUCCCAGUGCCUCCCAGAGCGUCCCAGUGCCUCCCAGUGCCUCCCAGUGCCUCCCAGUGCGUCCCAGUGCCUCCCACUACCGCGACUCAGGACUCAGGGUUUCAAAGUCAGCUGUGAGCCUGGCAGUGACAUCACACAGACCACAGCCGCAGACGUUCGGCACAGCGGUUAAGCCACCACUGGGGACACCCCCCCCCCACAUCCGAGCGCCCAGGUUCAAGUCCCAGCUCUGCCAUGCUCAGGUCCCUGCCGCCCACCUGGGAUGGAACUCCUGGCUUCCAGGGGCAGCCUGGUCCAGCCCCAGUGGACGGGCGGGUGGAUUUCUCCCGCCCCCCCUACCCCCCCGCCCUCUUUAA